AGAGUUUGAUCAUGGCUCAGGAUGAAUGCUGGCGGCGUGCCUUAAGCAUGCAAGUCGAACGGAUCAACUUCGGUUGGUUAGUGGCAGACGGGUGAGUAACGGGUAGGAAUCUACCUCUGGGUGGGGAAUAGCUGGCCGAAAGGCCAAUUAAUACCGCAUAAGAUCGCAAGAUGAAAGGGCGUAACUGCCCGCCGAGAGAGGAGCCUGCUUACUAUCAGCUUGUUGGUAGGGUAAUGGCCUACCAAGGCGAUGACGGUUAGGGGAUGUGAGAGCAUGAUCCCCCACAAGGCCACUGAGAUACGGGGCCUACACCUACGGGUGGCAGCAACUGGGAAUAUUGCACAAUGGGCGAAAGCCUGAUGCAGCGACGCCGCGUGCGGGAUGACGGCCUUCGGGUUGUAAACCGCUGUGGUCGGGGAUGAAUAAAAUGACAGUACCCGACUAGAAAGCAUCUGCUAACUACGUGCCAGAAGCCUCGGUAAUACGUAGGAUGCAAGCAUUAUCCGGAAUCAUUGGGCGUAAAGAGUAUCGUAGGCGGUAAUACAAGUGGUAGGUUAAAUCUCAAGGCUCAACCUUGAAUCUGCUUAUCAAACUGUAUCACUAGAGUUAGUUCGGGGAUAUUGGAAUUCUUGGUGAAGGGGUGAAAUCCGUUGAUAUCAAGAAGAACGCCAAUGGUGAAGACAAAUAUCUAGGACUUAACUGACGCUGAUGAGCGAAAGCUAGGGUAGCAAACCGGAUUAGAGACCCGGGUAGUCCUAGCCGUAAACGCUGAACACUAGCUGGUUGGAUGAAUUUCUGACUGGCGCAAGCUAACGCGUUAAGUGUUCCGCCUGGGGAGUACGACCGCAAGGUUAAAACUCAAAGGAAUUGACGGGGAAACGCACAACCAGCGUCCCAUGUGGUUUAAUUCGAUAUGGAACGAAGCACCUUACCUGGGUUUGACAUGCUAGAGUUCUAUCUCCAAGAAACUGGAGAGAGUCCGCAAGGAGGCUAGCACAGCUGCUGCAUGGUUGUCGUCAGUUCGUGUCGUGAGGCGUCCGCUUAAGUGCGGUAACGAACGCAACCCCUGUUCCGUGUUAAAUGUUCACGGGAGACUGCCCUGGUUUCACCAGGGAGGAAGGAGGGGACGACGUCAAAUCAGCAUGGCGCUUACACCCAGGGCCACACGCAUGGGGUAAUGGCGAGUACAACGGGUUGCGACAGAGUAAUCUUGAGCUAAUCCUUCAAAACUCGCCUCAGUUCGGAUUGUGGGCUGCAACUCGCCCACAUGAAGGGGAGUUGGUAGUGAUCGCGGGUCAGCUAUACCGCGGUGAAUACGUUCUCGUUUCUUGUACACACCGCCCGUCAAGUCAACAAAGUCAGCAGUGCCCGAAACCGGUAUCUUAAACCGCAAGGAUAAGACCGUCUAAGGUAAGGUUGGCGAUGGGGGCUAAGUCGUAACAAGGUA
RNAcentral lists this ribosomal RNA (1447 nucleotides) under metagenome. RNAcentral describes it as "bacterial SSU rRNA". It matches the Rfam family "Bacterial small subunit ribosomal RNA". The record is from RNAcentral.